This 164-nucleotide ribosomal RNA is filed under the name Trillium apetalon. Its description in RNAcentral is "5.8S ribosomal RNA". It matches the Rfam family "5.8S ribosomal RNA". Rfam says of the family: 5.8S ribosomal RNA (5.8S rRNA) is a component of the large subunit of the eukaryotic ribosome. It is transcribed by RNA polymerase I as part of the 45S precursor that also contains 18S and 28S rRNA. Lineage: Eukaryota; Viridiplantae; Streptophyta; Magnoliopsida; Liliales; Melanthiaceae. The record is from RNAcentral.
UUUAUGACUCUCGGCAAYKKAUAUCUUGKCUCCCGUAUCGAUGAAGAACGUAGCGAAAUGCGAUACUUGAUGCGAAUUGCAGACUCCCGUGAAUCAUCGAGUUUUUGAACGCAAGUUGUGCCCGAUGCCAUUCGACUGAUGGCACGCCUGCUUGGGCGUCACGC